GGGGUUGUGGCUCAGUGGUAGAGUUCUUGCCUAGCAUGCAGGAGGCACUAGGUUCAAUCCUCAGCACCA
Molecule: transfer RNA, 69 nt
Filed under: Ictidomys tridecemlineatus (thirteen-lined ground squirrel)
Lineage: Eukaryota; Metazoa; Chordata; Mammalia; Rodentia; Sciuridae
Description: Spermophilus tridecemlineatus (thirteen-lined ground squirrel) tRNA
Rfam family: tRNA
About the family: Transfer RNA (tRNA) molecules are approximately 80 nucleotides in length. Their secondary structure includes four short double-helical elements and three loops (D, anti-codon, and T loops).
Source: Rfam by way of RNAcentral